GUUCCUGUAGCGCAAUGGAUAGUGCGUUGGACUUAUUAUCCAAAGAUCGUGGGUUGGAAUCCCGCUUGGUAUA
This is a non-coding RNA of Trichonephila clavata, 73 nucleotides long. The record is from the annotation of a GenBank genome assembly. NCBI's taxonomy places the organism in Eukaryota, Metazoa, Arthropoda, Arachnida, Araneae, Nephilidae.